RNAcentral lists this small RNA (508 nucleotides) under uncultured Glomus. Its description in RNAcentral is "SSU rRNA". It matches the Rfam family "Eukaryotic small subunit ribosomal RNA", at positions 569 to 1081 of the family's 1831-position model. The record is from RNAcentral. Lineage: Eukaryota; Fungi; Glomeromycota; Glomeromycetes; Glomerales; Glomeraceae.
AGCAGCCGCGGUAAUUCCAGCUCCAAUAGCGUAUAUUAAAGUUGUUGCAGUUAAAAAGCUCGUAGUUGAAUUUCGAGAUCAAAUUGUUGGUCGUGCCUCGGUACGUACUGGCAUUAUUGAUUUCUCCCUUCUGACGAUCCGCGAUGUCAUUAAUUUGGUGUCGCGGGGAAUCAGGACUGUUACUUUGAAAAAUUAGAGUGUUUAAAGCAGGCUCACGCUUGAAUACAUUAGCAUGGAAUAAUGAAAUAGGACGUUUGAUUCUAUUUUGUUGGUUUCUAGGAUCGACGUAAUGAUUAAUAGGGAUAGUUGGGGGCAUUAGUAUUCAAUUGUCAGAGGUGAAAUUCUUGGAUUUAUUGAAGGCUAACUACUGCGAAAGCAUUUGCCAAGGAUGUUUUCAUUAAUCAAGAACGAAAGUUAGGGGAUCGAAGACGAUCAGAUACCGUCGUAGUCUUAACCAUAAACUAUGCCGACUAGGGAUCGGAUGAUGCUAAUUUUUAAUGACUCAUUC